Molecule: long non-coding RNA, 1330 nt
Organism: Saccostrea cuccullata (small rock oyster)
Lineage: Eukaryota; Metazoa; Mollusca; Bivalvia; Ostreida; Ostreidae
Exons: 3
Source: RefSeq, a predicted model, not a curated record
AACUUUGACUUAUAUCCUGGUCAUUUUGUUUAUAUUGUUUGGCGGGAAGAAACAAUAGCGUCGGUCGCCAUUUUCCUCCCAGGAAAACACGAAGUGAUGGUAUGUCAUGUUUUGUUGUUUUCUUGUUUUAGACAAAUAAUUCUAUAAUAAACUUAUUCAAAAAAUGUUCUACUGAGAAAGAAUAUUAUAAUUAACAAAGUACUCGACAUUUUUCUUCAAUAAUUAUUGUAUUUUACAUUAUUAUCAUAAUGAUACAUGUAGGCUAGGAUGUGGGUUGAUUGUGUUCAAGUAGAUUUUUGCAUAUUCAAUUUAUGCAAACAGUUCAAAUCGGACUUUGUCUAAAAUUCAACGAUGAUUAAAUACGUAUUAUUCUUUUACAACUCACAGUAUGGCAUGGACUCUCAACUACCACUGAAUGGACAAACAAAUCAAAAUACAAUAGCUUGUUACAAAUAGACAAGAUGAAAACCACAUUAGGUACACGAAGAUGUUACCAUGAAUAAAGAAAUAAGUUGACCCAUUUCUGACGAAAACAGCCAAACAAGAAGAAAACAGAACUGAUGAUGAUUUCAUUCCUAUGUGCCAUGUUUGCUAAGGACCUGUGAAAAAGAAUUUGUAAUGAUCAAAGAAGAAAACAACCAGUAAAUAUAUUCCACUGAGGUAGGAAAACAAAGCAACAACUGAAAGGGUGCAACAAGAGACUGUUACCUGAAGCUAUUUCUUUGAUUGAUUAGAAAUCAUUUACAAACAGUAAAAUUAAUUUGCUUGAAAAUACUAGUAUUUAAAUAUCUAAGUAUGCUAUAUAUGUAGGUGUAUAUGAUUUCUUUCAACUUUUUACAAUGUUUAUAAGCAAAUCUUAUGUUUUUUAUUAAGAUGAUCGGUUUAUACGUUUGUGUAUAUUUGGUGCUUGAAAUAUCCAUAUUUAUGAAACAAUUCUAUAAUAAAAAGUUCAAACAUUAGUUGUAUAAUUGUUAUAUUUUGUAUCUGAAGGGCAUUGAUGCGUGAUAAUCAAAAUGAUUUAACGCGCAUUGUCAUCAUGAUUUCCAAUAUCGUCAAAAUGCCUAGAAAUAUAACUAACUGAAAGUCAUUUUGAUAUGAAAUGAUAAUCAUUUUGAAUAUCGGAAUCUAUCAUUAUGACAAGAAUCCAGUCAAAUGAAAUCCUUACAGUGUACUCAUGGUGACUUUCAAUUAGUCAAGGUAGACUAUCGAGUCAGUCAGUAUGAUUUUUCUCGAGUCGUCAAAAUGAGCUCAACAUAUUGUCUAAUUGACUAACUGCACCCUCAUCUGGAGGACAAUCAAUCUGAUUAUUUUUUUAGGUCAUGGUGACUAA